GGAUUCAUGUGGCUCUGUAGUUAGCAGGGAGAUGAAAUUAAAGCCAAACUUCCUUUGGUUUUCCUUUAAACUCAAUUUUCAGAAAGUGUAAGUCAUCCAUCCCUCAUAUUUUUUUGGGCUACUAAAUAUUUAAAGAGCACGUAUAUAUCAUCUGGAUACCUUCUAUUACUUUCUGUGCAAUUCUGAUUUUUUUGAUAUAGUGGCAUAAGACAGACUUCUUCAGUUUCCUUUUAAGAGCUGUUGAAGAGUCAGACUUGCCAGGAUUUUCUGAUCCAAAGCCCUCUGAAGUUGAUUAGUGACAACUUUCUUGUAUCUCAGUGGUCUUGGCUAAGGCCCCAAGGUAGCAAAGGACAGAUCUUUAGAGUGAGCUUGAGAAUGUAGGUUUAUGGUCCUAUUAAGACGAAGCUGCUCUCCUUACAAAGCAGUCUUUAAAAAAAAAUGAGCUGCUUGUGUAGAGAAUGUCCACUCACGUAAGACAUAUUCUGUGUUUGUAAUGAUACAAGGAUUUUGUUGUUUUAUGUCUGUCUGCUUUACAUCCUGAGUUUUCUGAAUCUCUUCAAGUACAUAGUGCAAAGGUAGAGGUGGUAAGGAAGAAGUUUUGAGAAAUAUGGAAGACAAUAAGGAAGUCAGAAGGAAACACUGAUAAUGAGAUGGGCCAUCAGAGCUGUUCCUUUAUUUUCCAACCCACCAACGAAUUGUGAUUUUUACCAUAUGCCAUAAUGCUGAUGAUCUUCUAAACUUGUCAGCAAUGUUUACCAUGUUUCUUCAAAAUUUUUGGUUACUACUGACUUGACAAAACGGAUGCUUUAAAUGUGGGUGAUAUGGUCAGCUGCUAGGUUAAAAUGAUGGACUUUCUGCUUUCUGACAGGAUUAGAAGAAGAGUUCAGGACUUUAAAUGAGUUAGACUAUGGGUGAGGGAGAUGAAGGAGGAAAGGAAAUCUUCUUGAGGAUAACAACAUUUUCCCUCAAGGAUUUACUCUCUUGGUUUAUGUAACAUAAUUUUACCCUAUAUUCUGUUGUCUUUGCGUGGAGUGGCCUAGACUUGGAGUAGAGCAAACAAUAACAGUCACCUGUGGUUCCUCUCUGUAGUUAUAUCACGUUUUAUGUCUUGUUAUAUAUUACCCAAUGCUUUUGACCAAUAAAAACACUUUAGACAGCCCA
Molecule: long non-coding RNA, 1161 nt
Filed under: Anser cygnoides (Swan goose)
Lineage: Eukaryota; Metazoa; Chordata; Aves; Anseriformes; Anatidae
Description: lncRNA (ENSACDG00005007508.1)
Source: RNAcentral